Molecule: long non-coding RNA, 1579 nt
Organism: Hirundo rustica (Barn swallow)
Lineage: Eukaryota; Metazoa; Chordata; Aves; Passeriformes; Hirundinidae
Exons: 3
Source: RefSeq, a predicted model, not a curated record
CGUAGCCGGCCGACUCCGAGACGGGGGACGCCGCCGCUCUUCGCCUCCUCCGCGUCCCGCCGCGUUUUCCUGGCCAGCCCGGAGCGGCCCCGGUGACUCGGAGCUGUGGGUGCUGUGUGCGGUGCCAGCCUGCCGAGCCGCCCCCAGCUCGUUAUUUGCCUUACCGCGCUGCCAGCUCCAGUGCCACGGCUUGGCAUCGCUCCACCUCUGGGUGGGGAGCUGGCAGCAUCCCGCUUCUACCUCCAGCGUGGGACCGUGUGGCUGCUGCAGCGGCUGCUGCAGACCCCGGCAUCGGAGCCGGUGCGGUGUCGUUGUGGACGUGCCCGCUACUGAGGAGCAGCUGAGGUGCGCGCGGAUGCUGAAACACGAAGAUGAUUUAGCAAAAUGCGAUCGAGUCUGGGGGAGAACAUUGAAAAAUUAACUGUUUUACCUCAUUUUGUGCUGGCCCCCACACUAUGAACACAUACUGGUUUUGCUGUCACCUCAGACCAGUGGUGAAUAUGAAGACUGUGGCCACUGAACUGCCUUUCUCUCUAAAAAGCAGCUUUAAAAUAACCAUCCAGAUGGCAGACUAGCAAGCAGUGGUGACCGCCUGCAUUUUGGAAUUUUAACGUCAGCACCAUUGUAAUCUGUAGACAGCUGUGGCUAAAGGUGAAAAUGAAACUUCUCUCUAUACAUGAUAAACCAAAAAAUUAGGAAUCUGCUCUCAGUGUUCUAAAUGGCUGAGAUUUCAGGAGGUAGUACUGUUGCUCCAUCUGAAACACAAGUUUGCCUAAACACAACCCUCUGUAGUAAUAGGGUUCUGGUUUCCGCCCUCCUUCAAAGCGUGGGAAUUCAUCUGGAGUAGGAAGCAAACCCUUCCUAGCUCCUGAGCAGUAAGAGAAGCAGGGGACAGCAGUGAGAAGAGACAUUGUAUUCAUGAAAAUAACAUCAUCUGCCCAAGAAAUGCCUUUCCUUCCUCAUCCUUGUAUUUCUGUGUGGAAGAACAUUCCCCUUACCUCUCAGAGCACCUCGACCUCGCCCCCGAGCGCCAUGGUCCCUUCCUCUGGAGUUUUCAUCUGGAGAGUCAAAAGCAUCAUCUGGCCCAAAAUCUUCAGGGCCAGGAAAGCCAUCUCUGCCCCUGGGUCCCCGGCCCUCGUGUCUCGAGGGUCCUCCUCUUCGGAAGCUACAAGAAAGAACAGGAUACAAAUGUGGUUUUUAGGCACAAUUGAGUCAGCUUCGGUUUCAUUAUCAACCAAUUUCUGAACUGUUUCACUUAAUGCUACAACACAUACAGUUACUAGAACAGGAUUUGUAGGUGGGAAAGCGCUCAUUUCUGCCUUUGAGCACUUUGAUAGUAAGCUUUGUAAUUUUCUUCUCAUAUUUCCUUCCACUGAUUAUGUUGGCUUUUCAUACAAGAAAAAUAUUAUUAAACAUACUGCAUUCAUUUAAUGAAAAGGUGGGAAAAACAACAGAUGAGUGACGAUAGAUACAAGGUGAGAUAAGCCAAGGAAAAGUUUAAGUGAGUUCCCCUUCACUCUGAUGGUCUUACAUCCCCCUUCCCUUUUUUUCCUUUCCAUGAUAAAACAAACUGCAAACA